RNAcentral lists this ribosomal RNA (323 nucleotides) under uncultured bacterium. RNAcentral describes it as "partial 16S ribosomal RNA". It matches the Rfam family "Bacterial small subunit ribosomal RNA", at positions 509 to 832 of the family's 1533-position model. The record is from RNAcentral.
CAGCAGCCGCGGUAAUACGUAGGGUCCAAGCGUUAAUCGGAAUUACUGGGCGUAAAGAGUUCGUAGGCGGUUUGUCGCGUCGUUUGUGAAAACCAGCAGCUCAACUGCUGGCUUGCAGGCGAUACGGGCAGACUUGAGUACUGCAGGGGAGACUGGAAUUCCUGGUGUAGCGGUGAAAUGCGCAGAUAUCANGAGGAACACCGGUGGCGAAGGCNGNUCUAUGGGCANUAACUGACGCUGANGAACGAAAGCGUGGGUAGCGAACAGGAUUAAAUACCCUGGUUUCCACGCCGUANACGNNGNGNGCUACGUGUGGCUUUCAC